CGAUCCUAGCUUGCUAGGAGGCGUCGAGCGGCGGACGGGUGAGUAAUGCAUAGGAAUCUGCCCGGUAGUGGGGGAUAACCUGGGGAAACCCAGGCUAAUACCGCAUACGCCCUACGGGGGAAAGCAGGGGAUCUUCGGACCUUGCGCUAUCGGAUGAGCCUAUGUCGGAUUAGCUAGUUGGUGAGGUAACGGCUCACCAAGGCUGCGAUCCGUAGCUGGUCUGAGAGGAUGAUCAGCCACAUCGGGACUGAGACACGGCCCGAACUCCUACGGGAGGCAGCAGUGGGGAAUAUUGGACAAUGGGCGAAAGCCUGAUCCAGCCAUGCCGCGUGUGUGAAGAAGGCCUUCGGGUUGUAAAGCACUUUCAGUGAGGAAGAAAGCCUUGAGGUUAAUACCCUCGAGGGAGGACAUCACUCACAGAAGAAGCACCGGCUAACUCCGUGCCAGCAGCCGCGGUAAUACGGAGGGUGCGAGCGUUAAUCGGAAUUACUGGGCGUAAAGCGCGCGUAGGCGGCUUGAUAAGCCGGUUGUGAAAGCCCCGGGCUCAACCUGGGAACGGCAUCCGGAACUGUCAGGCUAGAGUGCAGGAGAGGAAGGUAGAAUUCCCGGUGUAGCGGUGAAAUGCGUAGAGAUCGGGAGGAAUACCAGUGGCGAAGGCGGCCUUCUGGACUGACACUGACGCUGAAGUGCGAAAGCGUGGGUAGCAAACAGGAUUAGAUACCCUGGUAGUCCACGCCGUAAACGAUGUCGACUAGCCGUUGGGCUCCUUGAGAGCUUUGUGGCGCAGUUAACGCGAUAAGUCGACCGCCUGGGGAGUACGGCCGCAAGGUUAAAACUCAAAUGAAUUGACGGGGG
This 855-nucleotide ribosomal RNA is filed under the name Halomonas denitrificans. RNAcentral describes it as "bacterial SSU rRNA". It matches the Rfam family "Bacterial small subunit ribosomal RNA", at positions 69 to 919 of the family's 1533-position model. Lineage: Bacteria; Pseudomonadati; Pseudomonadota; Gammaproteobacteria; Oceanospirillales; Halomonadaceae. The record is from RNAcentral.